RNAcentral lists this ribosomal RNA (496 nucleotides) under uncultured bacterium. RNAcentral's name for it is "partial 16S ribosomal RNA". It matches the Rfam family "Bacterial small subunit ribosomal RNA", at positions 29 to 507 of the family's 1533-position model. The record is from RNAcentral.
ACGCACGCUGGCGGCGUGCCUAAUACAUGCAAGUUGAGCGCUGAAGGUUGGUACUUGUACCAACUGGAUGAGCAGCGAACGGGUGAGUAACGCGUGGGGAAUCUGCCUUUGAGCGGGGGACAACAUUUGGAAACGAAUGCUAAUACCGCAUAAAAACUUUAAACACAAGUUUUAAGUUUGAAAGAUGCAAUUGCAUCACUCAAAGAUGAUCCCGCGUUGUAUUAGCUAGUUGGUGAGGUAAAGGCUCACCAAGGCGAUGAUACAUAGCCGACCUGAGAGGGUGAUCGGCCACAUUGGGACUGAGACACGGCCCAAACUCCUACGGGAGGCAGCAGUAGGGAAUCUUCGGCAAUGGACGAAAGUCUGACCGAGCAACGCCGCGUGAGUGAAGAAGGUUUUCGGAUCGUAAAACUCUGUUGGUAGAGAAGAACGUUGGUGAGAGUGGAAAGCUCAUCAAGUGACGGUAACUACCCAGAAAGGGACGGCUAACUACGUG